This 301-nucleotide ribosomal RNA is filed under the name uncultured bacterium. RNAcentral describes it as "partial 16S ribosomal RNA". It matches the Rfam family "Bacterial small subunit ribosomal RNA", at positions 509 to 807 of the family's 1533-position model. The record is from RNAcentral.
CAGUCGCCGCGGUAAUACGUAGGGUGCAAGCAUUAAUCGGAAUUACUGGGCGUAAAGCGUGCGCAGGCGGUUUGUUAAGACAGAUGUGAAAUCCCCGGGCUCAACCUGGGAACUGCAUUUGUGACUGGCAAGCUAGAGUAUGGCAGAGGGGGGUGGAAUUCCGCGUGUAGCAGUGAAAUGCGUAGAUAUGCGGAGGAACACCGAUGGCGAAGGCAGCCCCCUGGGACAACACUGACGCUGAGGCACGAAAGCGUGGGGAGCAAACAGGAUUAGAUACCCCAGUAGUCCCUGUCUCUUAUAC